RNAcentral lists this ribosomal RNA (521 nucleotides) under uncultured archaeon. RNAcentral describes it as "bacterial SSU rRNA". It matches the Rfam family "Archaeal small subunit ribosomal RNA", at positions 325 to 849 of the family's 1478-position model. The record is from RNAcentral.
ACGGGGUGCAGCAGGCGCGAAAACUCCGCAAUGUUCGAAAGAACGACGGGGGAACUCCAAGUGCACUUACGCAAGUAAGUGGUUUUUAGUAGUGUAAAUAGCUGUUAGAAUAAGAGCUGGGUAAGACCGGUGCCAGCCGCCGCGGUAACACCGGCAGCUCGAGUGGUGACCGCUUUUAUUGGGCCUAAAGCGUUCGUAGCCGGUCCAGUAAGUCUUUGGGCAAAUCUUCUCGCUCAACGAAAAGAAUUCCGAAGAUACUGCUGGACUUGGGGCCGAGAGAGGUUAGAGGUACUCCUGGGGUAGGGGUGAAAUCCUAUAAUCCUGGGGGGACCGCCAGUGGCGAAGGCGUCUAACCAGAGCGGACCCGACGGUGAGGGACGAAAGCCAGGGGCGCGAACGGGAUUAGAUACCCCGGUAGUCCACGCCGUAAACGAUGCUGACUGAGUGUUACGUGACCCUCGCGGUCACGUAGUGCUGGAGGGUAACCGUUAAGUCAGCCGCCUGGGAGUACGUCGCAAGGC